This 241-nucleotide unclassified non-coding RNA is filed under the name plant metagenome. RNAcentral's name for it is "partial contains small subunit ribosomal RNA, internal transcribed spacer 1, and 5.8S ribosomal RNA". The record is from RNAcentral.
UUUCCGUAGGUGAACCUGCGGAAGGAUCAUUCAUAAUAAGUGUUUUAGGGCACUUUUUAAACAAUCUAUAUCCACCUUGUGUGCAACGUUAUGAGUCCCUCUAACGUUAUCUUUUAGGUUACGGAAGGGGGAACCUCUACAACUGACCAACAUCACCAUUUACUUUUAUGUAUAAACAUUUGUUAUCACGUAUUAACUUAAUUCGAAAAUACAACUCUCAACAACGGAUCUCUUGGCUCUC